Molecule: long non-coding RNA, 160 nt
Organism: Octopus sinensis (East Asian common octopus)
Lineage: Eukaryota; Metazoa; Mollusca; Cephalopoda; Octopoda; Octopodidae
Exons: 3
Source: RefSeq, a predicted model, not a curated record
UGUGUGUGUGUGUGUGUGUGUGUGUGUGUGUGUAAGACGGUGCAUAAAUAAUGGUCAUUACAUAUUUUUCUUUAUUGUUGUAAAUUUGACUUACAGCUGUUUCCGGUAGUCAUUAUAGGUUCGUUAUUGAUAGGUUUUACACAAUCGGUUCAUUGUUCGG